AUGAACGCUGGCGGCGUGCCUAAUACCUGCAAGUCGAGCGAACGGACGAGAAGCUUGCUUCUCUGAUGUUAGCGGCGGACGGGUGAGUAACACGUGGAUAACCUACCUAUAAGACUGGGAUAACUUCGGGAAACCGGAGCUAAUACCGGAUGAUAUUUUGAACCGCAUGGUUCAAAAGUGAAAGACGGUCUUGCUGUCACUUAUAGAUGGAUCCGCGCUGCAUUAGCUAGUUGGUAAGGUAACGGCUUACCAAGGCAACGAUGCAUAGCCGACCUGAGAGGGUGAUCGGCCACACUGGAACUGAGACACGGUCCAGACUCCUACGGGAGGCAGCAGUAGGGAAUCUUCCGCAAUGGGCGAAAGCCUGACGGAGCAACGCCGCGUGAGUGAUGAAGGUCUUCGGAUCGUAAAACUCUGUUAUUAGGGAAGAACAUAUGUGUAAGUAACUGUGCACAUCUUGACGGUACGUAAUCAGAAAGCCACGGCUAACUACGUG
RNAcentral lists this ribosomal RNA (496 nucleotides) under uncultured bacterium. Its description in RNAcentral is "partial 16S ribosomal RNA". It matches the Rfam family "Bacterial small subunit ribosomal RNA", at positions 29 to 507 of the family's 1533-position model. The record is from RNAcentral.